RNAcentral lists this ribosomal RNA (627 nucleotides) under uncultured fungus. Its description in RNAcentral is "LSU rRNA". It matches the Rfam family "Eukaryotic large subunit ribosomal RNA", at positions 23 to 664 of the family's 3401-position model. The record is from RNAcentral. Lineage: Eukaryota; Fungi.
ACCCGCUGAACUUAAGCAUAUCAAUAAGCGGAGGAAAAGAAACCAACAGGGAUUGCCUUAGUAACUGCGAGUGAAGCGGCAAGAGCUCAAAUUUGAAAUCUGGCGCCUUUGGCGUCCGAGUUGUAAUUUGGAGAGGCAUCUUCGGGGUCGGCGCCGGCCUAAGUUCCUUGGAACAGGACGUCAUAGAGGGUGAGAAUCCCGUUCUCGGCUGGCUGUCCGUCCCCAUGUGAAGUGUCUUCGACGAGUCGAGUUGUUUGGGAAUGCAGCUCAAAAUGGGUGGUAAACUCCAUCUAAAGCUAAAUACUGGCGAGAGACCGAUAGCGCACAAGUAGAGUGAUCGAAAGAUGAAAAGCACUUUGAAAAGAGAGUUAAAAAGUACGUGAAAUUGUUGAAAGGGAAGCGCUUGAGACCAGACUCGGCCUGAGGUAUUCAUCGUCCCUUCUGGGACGUGCACUUGUCUCUGGUCGGGCCAGCAUCGGUUGCGGCGGCGGGAUAAAGAUCCGGGGAAUGUGGCUGCUCUCGGGCAGUGUUAUAGCCCCGGGUGUCAUGCCGCCUGCUGCGACCGAGGACCGCGCUUCGGCUAGGAUGCUGGCGUAAUGGUCUUCAGCGACCCGUCUUGAAACACGG